Molecule: small nucleolar RNA, 198 nt
Filed under: Nicotiana attenuata
Lineage: Eukaryota; Viridiplantae; Streptophyta; Magnoliopsida; Solanales; Solanaceae
Description: snoRNA Plant_U3
Rfam family: Plant small nucleolar RNA U3
About the family: Small nucleolar RNAs (snoRNAs) are involved in the processing and modification of rRNA in the nucleolus.
Source: Rfam by way of RNAcentral
ACGACCUUACUUGAACAGGAUCUGUUCUAUAGGCUCGUACCACUGUAUCCUUGAGUUCUAAGGAGACAGAAAGCCAAGUCUGGUUGAUGAGGCAUGGCCAUUGGACCAGAGCGUGAUUAACAGCUCCCACAGCCCACGGGUUAUGGUGCCGUAGAUGAUCGUUCUCAGUCCCAAAGUCUAAUGGCUGUCUGACAGACU